UGAAGAACGUAGCGAAAUGCGAUAAGUAAUGUGAAUUGCAGAAUUCAGUGAAUCAUCGAAUCUUUGAACGCACAUUGCGCCCGCCAGUAUUCUGGCGGGCAUGCCUGUCUGAGCGUCAUUUCAACCCUCAUGCCCCUAGGGCGUGGUGUUGGGGAUCGGCCAAAGCCCGCGAGGGACGGCCGGCCCCUAAAUCUAGUGGCGGACCCGUCGUGGCCUCCUCUGCGAAGUAGUGAUAUUCCGCAUCGGAGAGCGACGAGCCCCUGCCGUUAAACCCCCAACUUUCCAAGGUUGACCUCAGAUCAGGUAGGAAUACCCGCUGAACUUAAGCAUAUCAAUAAGCGGAGGA
This 346-nucleotide unclassified non-coding RNA is filed under the name soil metagenome. Its description in RNAcentral is "partial contains 5.8S ribosomal RNA, internal transcribed spacer 2, and large subunit ribosomal RNA". The stretch from base 1 to 118 matches the Rfam family "5.8S ribosomal RNA", at positions 37 to 154 of the family's 154-position model. The record is from RNAcentral.